ACUGCUGAGCUAGCACUUCCAGA
This 23-nucleotide microRNA is filed under the name Monodelphis domestica (gray short-tailed opossum). RNAcentral's name for it is "Mdo-Mir-17-P4d_3p* (star (passenger))". Lineage: Eukaryota; Metazoa; Chordata; Mammalia; Didelphimorphia; Didelphidae. The record is from RNAcentral.